RNAcentral lists this ribosomal RNA (790 nucleotides) under Salinicola salarius. RNAcentral's name for it is "bacterial SSU rRNA". It matches the Rfam family "Bacterial small subunit ribosomal RNA", at positions 396 to 1178 of the family's 1533-position model. Lineage: Bacteria; Pseudomonadati; Pseudomonadota; Gammaproteobacteria; Oceanospirillales; Halomonadaceae. The record is from RNAcentral.
GCCGCGUGUGUGAAGAAGGCUUUCGGGUUGUAAAGCACUUUCAGCGAGGAAGAAAGCCUCUGGGUUAAUACCCCAGAGGAAGGACAUCACUCGCAGAAGAAGCACCGGCUAACUCCGUGCCAGCAGCCGCGGUAAUACGGAGGGUGCGAGCGUUAAUCGGAAUUACUGGGCGUAAAGCGCGCGUAGGUGGCUUGGCACGCCGGUUGUGAAAGCCCCGGGCUCAACCUGGGAACGGCAUCCGGAACGGCCAGGCUAGAGUGCAGGAGAGGAAGGUAGAAUUCCCGGUGUAGCGGUGAAAUGCGUAGAGAUCGGGAGGAAUACCAGUGGCGAAGGCGGCCUUCUGGCCUGACACUGACACUGAGGUGCGAAAGCGUGGGUAGCAAACAGGAUUAGAUACCCUGGUAGUCCACGCCGUAAACGAUGUCGACUAGCCGUUGGGACCUUUAAGGACUUAGUGGCGCAGUUAACGCGAUAAGUCGACCGCCUGGGGAGUACGGCCGCAAGGUUAAAACUCAAAUGAAUUGACGGGGGCCCGCACAAGCGGUGGAGCAUGUGGUUUAAUUCGAUGCAACGCGAAGAACCUUACCUACCCUUGACAUCCAGAGAAGUUGGCAGAGAUGCCUUCGUGCCUUCGGGAGCUCUGAGACAGGUGCUGCAUGGCUGUCGUCAGCUCGUGUUGUGAAAUGUUGGGUUAAGUCCCGUAACGAGCGCAACCCUUGUCCUUAUUUGCCAGCGAGUCAUGUCGGGAACUCUAAGGAGACUGCCGGUGACAAACCGGAGGAAGGUGGGG